This 433-nucleotide ribosomal RNA is filed under the name uncultured bacterium. Its description in RNAcentral is "partial 16S ribosomal RNA". It matches the Rfam family "Bacterial small subunit ribosomal RNA", at positions 29 to 507 of the family's 1533-position model. The record is from RNAcentral.
AACGAACGCUGGCGGCAUGCCUAACACAUGCAAGUCGAACGAAGGCUUCGGCCUUAGUGGCGCACGGGUGCGUAACGCGUGGGAAUCUGCCCUUUGGUUCGGAAUAACAGCUGGAAACGGCUGCUAAUACCGGAUGAUGACGAAAGUCCAAAGAUUUAUCGCCAGAGGAUGAGCCCGCGUUGGAUUAGGUAGUUGGUGGGGUAAAGGCCUACCAAGCCGACGAUCCAUAGCUGGUCUGAGAGGAUGAUCAGCCACACUGGGACUGAGACACGGCCCAGACUCCUACGGGAGGCAGCAGUGGGGAAUAUUGGACAAUGGGCGCAAGCCUGAUCCAGCAAUGCCGCGUGAGUGAUGAAGUCCCUAGGGUUGUAAAGCUCUUUUACCCGGGAAGAUAAUGACUGUACCGGGAGAAUAAGCCCCGGCUAACUCCGUG